AAUCAACGCUGGCGGCGUGCCUCAGACAUGCAAGUCGAACGCCCUAGCAAUAGGGAGUGGCAGACGGGUGAGUAACGCGUGGGAACCUUCCCAGUGGUGCGGAAUAACUCACCGAAAGGUGAGCUAAUACCGCAUAAGCCCCUCGGGGGAAAGAUUUAUCGCCAUUGGAUGGGCCCGCGUCGGAUUAGCUAGUUGGUGAGGUAACGGCUCACCAAGGCUACGAUCCGUAGCUGGUCUGAGAGGAUGAUCAGCCACACUGGGACUGAGACACGGCCCAGACUCCUACGGGAGGCAGCAGUGGGGAAUAUUGGACAAUGGGCGCAAGCCUGAUCCAGCCAUGCCGCGUGAGUGACGAAGGCCUUAGGGUUGUAAAGCUCUUUUGCCGGGGACGAUAAUGACGGUACCCGGAGAAUAAGUCCCGGCUAACUUCGUGCCAGCAGCCGCGGUAAGUGACGUCAGA
Molecule: ribosomal RNA, 460 nt
Filed under: uncultured bacterium
Lineage: Bacteria
Description: bacterial SSU rRNA
Rfam family: Bacterial small subunit ribosomal RNA
Source: RNAcentral